Corapipo altera (White-ruffed manakin) is the source of this 1042-nucleotide long non-coding RNA. RefSeq lists it as uncharacterized. The transcript has 3 exons. Lineage: Eukaryota; Metazoa; Chordata; Aves; Passeriformes; Pipridae. The record is from RefSeq and is a predicted model, not a curated record.
CUUUCCGUGCUGUGUACCGUGGAAACACAAGGCACUGCUCUGGCUCUGCAAAGCUCACAAAUCCCCAGGACAAACCCUACAGAACUUGGCUGCAAAUGAAUUGGAUCCACUGUUCCUGUGAGAGUUCCUGUGCUCACAGAGGGAUGUUUUGUACCGGAAAAACAAGCACAGAAGAUGAGAGGAACAGGAAAAUGUAUCUGCUUGAAAUUGUCACCAGGCCAAAAAAACGACUGCAUCAUCUGAGGCAGCUCAGACACAGCACAUACCAGUGAAACACCAGCUCUUGGUGGCUUUAGCAAAGCUGUGCCACAGAAGAGGAUGGUCACAAAAUAUGAGGUGUGUAAAGCAAAAGGCAACAGGGAAUCACGGGGCCCACAUCACUCCAAGUGCCCAGAACGAACCCCCCAGCGCUCCAUCAGCUCAGCACCGCGGAGCGGCAGCGAGGGACAGAUCCCUGCUGCAGGAGUUACUGGGACACAUCCAAACCAGCAUUUGUUAGCACUCACACGGACACAGGGACAAGGAUCUGUGCAGAGAUGUAAUCCGAUGCACCAGCAUCUGGCUGGCACACAAACAAGGCGUGCUUUCAUCCCCACGGGCAGGGCUGGAAGCACUGCUGCCUAUUUUAAACAUCUUUAAUUGCUCGCAAAGCCGAGGAAGGAGCCAGCCCCUGCUCUGCACACAGUCAUUGUCCCCAAACAAUGAACUACCCGGAGCCAAAGCGCCUCCCAGCUCCAGCAGCAGUGCUGAUAUGCUGCAGAAACCCAGUAUCCUUCUGCCUGUGACUCCAGGGAACAGCCAGGAGGAGAGGAGUAAGUACGCUGGGAUUUACAGAGCAAGUGACUGACCUUCAGAGACCAAAGCAGAAAUAAAUAAAGAUGCCAAGACCAAAGAUCAGCCGAGAUUUUGACUUUGCAAAUUCACAGUAUCAACAGCACUGUCCUUGAGCACAAGUCCAGGAGGUGGGAGAGAUGGGUUUAUAACCAGCAACUACAGAAACUUUCUCUGAACUUUACACUCUAAGCUCUGUAGUGAGUAGGAA